RNAcentral lists this ribosomal RNA (578 nucleotides) under uncultured Microbacterium sp. RNAcentral's name for it is "bacterial SSU rRNA". It matches the Rfam family "Bacterial small subunit ribosomal RNA", at positions 102 to 694 of the family's 1533-position model. The record is from RNAcentral. Lineage: Bacteria; Bacillati; Actinomycetota; Actinomycetes; Micrococcales; Microbacteriaceae.
ACGGGUGAGUAACACGUGAGCAAUCUGCCCCUGACUCUGGGAUAACAGUUGGAAACAGCUGCUAAUACCGGAUACGAGCUGAGAAGGCACCUUCGUCAGCUGGAAAGAAUUUCGGUCAGGGAUGAGCUCGCGGCCUAUCAGCUUGUUGGUGAGGUAAUGGCUCACCAAGGCGUCGACGGGUAGCCGGCCUGGGAGGGUGACCGGCCACACUGGGACUGAGACACGGCCCAGACUCCUACGGGAGGCAGCAGUGGGGAAUAUUGCACAAUGGGCGCAAGCCUGAUGCAGCAACGCCGCGUGAGGGACGACGGCCUUCGGGUUGUAAACCUCUUUUAGCAAGGAAGAAGCGAAAGUGACGGUACUUGCAGAAAAAGCGCCGGCUAACUACGUGCCAGCAGCCGCGGUAAUACGUAGGGCGCAAGCGUUAUCCGGAAUUAUUGGGCGUAAAGAGCUCGUAGGCGGUUUGUCGCGUCUGCUGUGAAAUCCCGAGGCUCAACCUCGGGCCUGCAGUGGGUACGGGCAGACUAGAGUGCGGUAGGGGAGAUUGGAAUUCCUGGUGUAGCGGUGGAAUGCGCAGA